RNAcentral lists this ribosomal RNA (519 nucleotides) under Pristimantis sp. Rondonia ABGD cluster 279. RNAcentral's name for it is "partial large subunit ribosomal RNA". It matches the Rfam family "Bacterial large subunit ribosomal RNA", at positions 1853 to 2597 of the family's 2925-position model. Lineage: Eukaryota; Metazoa; Chordata; Amphibia; Anura; Strabomantidae. The record is from RNAcentral.
UCCAGCCUGCCCAGUGACUUAGUUCAACGGCCGCGGUAUCCUAACCGUGCGAAGGUAGCGUAAUCACUUGUUUUCUAAAUAAAGACUAGUAUGAAAGGCACCACGAGAACUAAACUGUCUCCUUUCUCUAAUCAGUGAAUCUAAUCUCCCCGUGAAAAAGCGGGGAUAACCUAAUAAGACGAGAAGACCCUAUGGAGCUUUAAACCUAUAACACCUGCUCUAAUAACACUAUAAUGUUACUUACAUGAUGAUUACAAGUUUUUGGUUGGGGUGACUACGGAGAAAAAACAACCCUCCGUGAUGAAAAUUCCUAAACAACAAGCUACAGCUUUAUGUAUCAGCAAACUGACACUAUUGACCCAAUACAUUGAUCAACGAACCAAGUUACCCUAGGGAUAACAGCGCUAUCCACUUAGAGAGCCCCUAUCGACAAGUGGGCUUACGACCUCGAUGUUGGAUCAGGGUAUCCCAGUGGUGCAGCCGCUACUAAAGGUUCGUUUGUUCAACGAUUAAAACCCU